AGACGGUCUUAUUGGUGGACUCUAAGACGUCAUGGUAAAGUUGAAGUUCUUUCAUGAUCUUGUGGCAGGUGGUGCAUGGCCGUUCUUAGUUCGUGUAGUGAUACGUCUGCCUAAUCGCGUCACGAUAACCUAUUUCUCGACAAUCCAAAGAUCUUCGUGCAGUAUCUAUUGGUACGUGCUCACGUUAGUAGGCUAGAGAUUUGAACAGUACGCAACGGACGCGAUCGUAAUCUCUUGUUAAGUGGCCAUCCUGUGAGCCCCUGAUUUAAUGGCAGGCGGUAUCAUCUCAGCCACAUUUCCUCUGGUAGUAGUGGGCCAGAUUUAAAACUCGAGAAACAUCUGUGACUUUCUUUCUUUACGCAGAGGAAGGUUAUGGCAAUAACAGGUCUGUGAUGC
Molecule: ribosomal RNA, 396 nt
Filed under: Globigerina bulloides
Lineage: Eukaryota; Foraminifera; Rotaliida; Globigerinidae
Description: SSU rRNA
Rfam family: Eukaryotic small subunit ribosomal RNA
Source: RNAcentral